UGGGGAAUAUUGGACAAUGGGCGCAAGCCUGAUCCAGCCAUGCCGCGUGUGUGAAGAAGGCCUUCGGGUUGUAGAGCACUUUUGUCCGGAAAGAAAUCCUGUCGGCUAAUACCCGGCGGGGAUGACGGUACCGGAAGAAUAAGCACCGGCUAACUUCGUGCCAGCAGCCGCGGUAAUACGAAGGGUGCAAGCGUUACUCGGAAUUACUGGGCGUAAAGCGUGCGUAGGUGGUUUGUUAAGUCUGAUGUGAAAGCCCUGGGCUCAACCUGGGAACUGCAUUGGAUACUGGCUUACUAGAGUGCGGUAGAGGGUGGCGGAAUUCCCCGGUGUAGCAGUGAAAUGCGUAGAUAUCGGGAGGAACAUCCGUGGCGAAGGCGGCCACCUGGACCAGCACUGACACUGAGGCACGAAAAGCGUGGGGGAGCAAAACAGGAUUAGAUACCCUGGUAUCCACGCCCUAAACGAUGCGACUGGAUGUUGGGAGCAACUAGGCUCUCAGUAUCGAAGCUAACGCGUUAAGUUCGCCGCCUGGAAGUACGGUCGCAAGACUGAAACUCAAAUGAAUUGACGGGGUCAUAGCUGUUUCC
This 587-nucleotide ribosomal RNA is filed under the name uncultured bacterium. Its description in RNAcentral is "partial 16S ribosomal RNA". It matches the Rfam family "Bacterial small subunit ribosomal RNA", at positions 355 to 937 of the family's 1533-position model. The record is from RNAcentral.